GACGAACGCUGGCGGCGUGCUUAACACAUGCAAGUCGAACGGAAAGGCCCUGCUUUUGUGGGGUGCUCGAGUGGCGAACGGGUGAGUAACACGUGAGUAACCUGCCCUUGACUUUGGGAUAACUUCAGGAAACUGGGGCUAAUACCGGAUAGGAGCUCCUGCUGCAUGGUGGGGGUUGGAAAGUUUCGGCGGUUGGGGAUGGACUCGCGGCUUAUCAGCUUGUUGGUGGAGUAGUGGCUUACCAAGGCUUUGACGGGUAGCCGGCCUGAGAGGGUGACCGGCCACAUUGGGACUGAGAUACGGCCCAGACUCCUACGGGAGGCAGCAGUGGGGAAUAUUGCACAAUGGGCGGAAGCCUGAUGCAGCAACGCCGCGUGCGGGAUGACGGCCUUCGGGUUGUAAACCGCUUUCGCCUGUGACGAAGCGUGAGUGACAGUAAUGGGUAAAGAAGCACCGGCUAACUACGUG
RNAcentral lists this ribosomal RNA (468 nucleotides) under uncultured bacterium. RNAcentral's name for it is "partial 16S ribosomal RNA". It matches the Rfam family "Bacterial small subunit ribosomal RNA", at positions 28 to 507 of the family's 1533-position model. The record is from RNAcentral.